ACACACCACAUACACAACUCACGCACACACUCAACACACGCACAGACACACCUUCUCACUCUCUCCCUCUCUCGGCUUCUGCCGCCGCCGCCGGACGGCGGCGCGCCCGACGGAGGCCGGCGCCUCCUCUCUCCUCGACCUUUCUCUCUCUCCCUGACCUCUCUGUUGGCCGGACGCCAUCGGCGAGAAGCGCCGAAGCCGCCGCCCCUCCUCUUCCGCUGCGAGCAGCCAUCGACGAGACCGAUGAGAACAUAUUAGGUUUUCUAAUUGCUUCUGUAUAGAUGAGCAUAUGCAUACAUAUUACAUAUAAUUUUGAUUUCUUACGAAAGAAUUGAUUUUGAGUGCUUCUGUGUUCUUUCAAUUAUAAAGUGGGUGUUAUGAAUCUGAAUGUAAAGAUGAGAACAAUUGUGAGAAGUAUCUGCACACAACCGAAAAGAGAAAAACAGAAUAUUGCUGUAUAACAUUUGCAGAGAUUUACAGAUUUGAUGAAGCUGUGUACACAAAAGGAGGUAAGAAAGGAGGAGUCUGAUUGAGAUUUGUGGUGCGGUGAAUUUAGAAAAAUGAUAUUGAGAAGGAGUUGACUAAGAUGGUUAGUGAAUUUAAAUGUUUUAGAAACUGGUACCAACGUCAUAAUUUUCAUAAUUUUUCUUAAUGGGGUUUACUCGAUAUAUAGUGAUAUGGUUACAAUAAAAUUGUUUAAUAGUGAAUGAUUU
RNAcentral lists this long non-coding RNA (713 nucleotides) under Salvia miltiorrhiza (redroot sage). RNAcentral's name for it is "long non-coding RNA (SMIL_LNC007316)". Lineage: Eukaryota; Viridiplantae; Streptophyta; Magnoliopsida; Lamiales; Lamiaceae. The record is from RNAcentral.